RNAcentral lists this ribosomal RNA (253 nucleotides) under uncultured bacterium. Its description in RNAcentral is "partial 16S ribosomal RNA". It matches the Rfam family "Bacterial small subunit ribosomal RNA", at positions 524 to 776 of the family's 1533-position model. The record is from RNAcentral.
UACGUAGGUGGCAAGCGUUAUCCGGAAUUACUGGGCGUAAAGCGCACGCAGGCGGUCUUUUAAGUUUGACGUGAAAGCUCCCGGCUUAACUGGGAGAGGUCGUUGAAGACUGGAAGACUUGAGGCAAUGAGAGGGGUGUAGAAUUCCCGGUGUAGUGGUGGAAUGCGUAGAUAUCGGGGGGAAUACCAGUGGCGAAAGCGGCACCCUAGCGUUAGUCUGUCGCUCAUGUGCGAAAGCGUGGGGAGCGAACGGG